AAAUUUAAAAGCGCCAGGACUUGGAAAAAUUAAUUUUGUUAAUAGGUGGAUAUGCUAGGCUGUGUUUACAUUAGAGUUAAAAUAGCAACAUUCAUUUAUGAGAAAUUUUAAAAUUUUCAAGUUGACGAGGAUGGGGAGUAUCGAAUCUUCGGCGGGUGCCCCACGGUAUCGCACUACCGUUAAAGAUUGAUAAAAGCAAAAAGCGAUUUUUGUCACAAUAU
Molecule: non-coding RNA, 221 nt
Filed under: Clostridium senegalense
Lineage: Bacteria; Bacillati; Bacillota; Clostridia; Eubacteriales; Clostridiaceae
Description: glmS glucosamine-6-phosphate activated ribozyme
Rfam family: glmS glucosamine-6-phosphate activated ribozyme aptamer
About the family: This entry contains a glucosamine-6-phosphate activated ribozyme that is found in the mRNA for GlmS. GlmS is an enzyme that uses fructose-6-phosphate and glutamine to generate glucosamine-6-phosphate.
Source: RNAcentral